This 490-nucleotide ribosomal RNA is filed under the name uncultured bacterium. RNAcentral describes it as "partial 16S ribosomal RNA". It matches the Rfam family "Bacterial small subunit ribosomal RNA", at positions 30 to 507 of the family's 1533-position model. The record is from RNAcentral.
AUUGAACGCUGGCGGCAGGCCUAACACAUGCAAGUCGAACGGUAACAGGAAGACGCUUGCUUCUUUGCUGACGAGUGGCGGGCGGGUGAGUCAUGUCUGGGACACUGCCUGAUGGAGGGGGAUAACUACUGGAAACGGUAGCUAAUACCGCAUAACGUCGCAAGCCCAAAGAGGGGGACCUUCGGGCCUCUUGCCAUCGGCUGUGCCCAGAUGGGAUUCGCUAGUAGGUGGGGUAACGGCUCACCUAGGCGACGAUCCCUAGCUGGUCUGAGAGGAUGACCAGCCACACUGGAACUGAGACACGGUCCAGACUCCUACGGGAGGCAGCAGUGGGGAAUAUUGCACAAUGGGCGCAAGCCUGAUGCAGCCAUGCCGCGUGUAUGAAGAAGGCCUUCGGGUUGUAAAGUACUUUCAGCGGGGAGGAAGGGAGUAAAGUUAAUACCUGUGCUCAUUGACGGUACCCGCAGAAGAAGCACCGGCUAACUCCGUG